UUAAUCUGCGAUACGUAACAUUAUAGUCAGCAAUUUAUCGAUCACGUAGUCUUUGGCUGUUAGUAAUUAACGGGAGCCUAAUUUUUAUCAUCAAUUCGUCUCGGGUUGGUAUCCUUGCUCUCAAGUUCAAACUCCCAAACCCCCAAGAGGUUCUCUUGUACAUGCAUAUGCUUGCAGGCAUCCCUAUGCUUUUCAUUGUCUUCUGUUACUGAUACAGGGAGUACAGCCACUUCUGGAUGGUGUACUUAAUUAUUUGUCAUGUCCAAUUGAAGUUAGUAGUUAUGCCCUUGACCAAACAAAGAAUGAGGAAAAGGUUGAGUUGACUGGAAGUCUUGAUGGGCCACUUGUAGCGUUGGCAUUUAAGUUGGAGGAAGGGCGGUUUGGCCAGUUGACAUAUUUAAGGUAGAAAAGAGAUCAAACAGUACAGAAACUGAAGGAAAUGGGUAAAAUCCAAUGUGGCUUUACCCGUCCCCAGGUCAUAUGUGUUCUUUACUGAGAAAGGAAAAAACAAUGUGUGACAAAUGGCAGGCUUUUGAGAGACCUGACCCUCUCCUAGUCUGAUUCUAAUCCCAACAAUCUGAAUGCCCUCCUCAGCAUUUUGUCACCUCCCAAUAUACUCCCCAACUCUCUUUUCUAACAAAAUCAUUUCACUACCCCUCCCCACCAGUCUUGCCACCCAGAGUUACCAGUCCCUCGGGCCCAUAUUGCGCUCCCCUCCUCCCCGUCCUAAGCAUUUUGUUUUCCCACAACCGAGAUUUACUCAUUUCAUUCUCACCAUUAACCAUUUUAUCACUUUCCCUGCGUGUGUUUGUCUGCAUAUAUUUUGGUUUGAAUGUGUUAACUUUGUAAAUUACACAAAAUUAUUGGAUUGUUUUCUCAAUUUUCCUUCCCCCCGGCUUUGGGUGUUGAAGAAUUUACGAGGGUGUGAUCCGCAAGGGCGAGUUUGUUAUUAAUCUAAACACCGGCAAGAAGAUCAAGGUAAAAUCUAAGGCUUUUUGUGAUUGUGUUAUUCAUGUGCAUAUGUGCAAUUGAAUCCUGGAAUUUUUUUUGGCUAAUGUUACAUUUAGAUAUUUAUGUUGAACGUAUUUGGAGAGAGUAUAAGGAAGCUGGUACAUUUCAGGAAGCUGGUACUUCUCAGGCCUAAGUUGUGGAAUCUGAGUUUAGGUUCAUGUUCUAUUUGUGUGUUUAUGGUUUCUUCACGAAGGAAAACUCUGAUGUUAUAUAAUUUCAAUACUCAUAAAAUAGUGCAGUGUGUAUUAGCACAAUGAUAGACAUAACUGAGUGUGUAUUAGCACAAUGAUAGACAUAACUGACAUCUGAUGAGCACUGUUUACAGAUAUUAUGGAAUUUGUUAGUGUUCUAGCUUCUAUCAUUAA
Molecule: non-coding RNA, 1376 nt
Organism: Arachis ipaensis
Lineage: Eukaryota; Viridiplantae; Streptophyta; Magnoliopsida; Fabales; Fabaceae
Source: RefSeq, a predicted model, not a curated record